This 253-nucleotide ribosomal RNA is filed under the name uncultured bacterium. RNAcentral's name for it is "partial 16S ribosomal RNA". It matches the Rfam family "Bacterial small subunit ribosomal RNA", at positions 524 to 776 of the family's 1533-position model. The record is from RNAcentral.
UACGGGGGGUGCAAGCGUUAUUCGGAUUUACUGGGCGUAAAGGGCGCGUAGGCGGCCGUUUAAGUCAGAUGUGAAAGCCCGGGGCUCAACCCCGGAAGUGCAUUUGAUACUAUUCGGCUUGAGUAUGGGAGAGGGAAGUGGAAUUCCUGGUGUAGAGGUGAAAUUCGUAGAUAUCAGGAGGAACACCGGUGGCGAAGGCGACUUCCUGGACCAAUACUGACGCUGAGGCGCGAAGGCGUGGGGAGCAAACAGG